This 498-nucleotide ribosomal RNA is filed under the name uncultured bacterium. RNAcentral describes it as "partial 16S ribosomal RNA". It matches the Rfam family "Bacterial small subunit ribosomal RNA", at positions 28 to 508 of the family's 1533-position model. The record is from RNAcentral.
GAUGAACGCUGGCGGCGUGCCUAAUACAUGCAAGUCGAGCGAACAGACGAGGAGCUUGCUCCUCUGACGUUAGCGGCGGACGGGUGAGUAACGCGUGGAUAACCUACCUAUAAGACUGGGAUAACUUCGGGAAACCGGAGCUAAUACCGGAUAAUAUAUUGAACCGCAUGGUUCAAUAGUGAAAGACGGUUUUGCUGUCACUUAUAGAUGGAUCCGCGCCGCAUUAGCUAGUUGGUAAGGUAACGGCUUACCAAGGCAACGAUGCGUAGCCGACCUGAGAGGGUGAUCGGCCACACUGGAACUGAGACACGGUCCAGACUCCUACGGGAGGCAGCAGUAGGGAAUCUUCCGCAAUGGGCGAAAGCCUGACGGAGCAACGCCGCGUGAGUGAUGAAGGUCUUCGGAUCGUAAAACUCUGUUAUUAGGGAAGAACAAAUGUGUAAGUAACUAUGCACGUCUUGACGGUACCUAAUCAGAAAGCCACGGCUAACUACGUGC